UACGAAGGGGGCUAGCGUUGUUCGGAUUUACUGGGCGUAAAGCGCGUGUAGGCGGGUCGUUAAGUUGGGGGUGAAAUCCCGGAGCUCAACUGCGGAACUGCCCUCAAAACUGGCGCGCUGGACCCGAGUAGAGGCAAGUGGAAUUGCGAGUGUAGAGGUGAAAUUCGUAGAUAUUCGCAGGAACACCAGUGGGGAAGGCGACUUGCUGGACUUGUGGUGACGCUGAGACGCGAAAGCGUGGGGAGCAAACAGG
Molecule: ribosomal RNA, 253 nt
Filed under: uncultured bacterium
Lineage: Bacteria
Description: partial 16S ribosomal RNA
Rfam family: Bacterial small subunit ribosomal RNA
Source: RNAcentral